CCCUUAGAUGUCCUGGGCCGCACGCGCGUUACACUGAUGCAUUCAACGAGCUUAUAACCUUGGCCGAGAGGCCUGGGCAAUCUUGUUAACGUGCAUCGUGAUAGGGAUAGAUUAUUGAAAUUAUUAAUCUUGAACGAGGAAUUCCUAGUAAACGCAGAUCAUCAAUCUGCAUUGAUUACCUCCCUGCCCUUUGUACACACCGCCCGUCGCACCUACCGAUUGGAUGGUCCGGUGAAGCCUCGGGAUUGUGGUUCUUGCCGCUUUAUUGUGGCGUGACCGCGAGAACUUGUCUAAACCUUAUCAUCUAGAGGAAGGUGAAGUCGUAACA
This 328-nucleotide ribosomal RNA is filed under the name uncultured eukaryote. Its description in RNAcentral is "partial 18S ribosomal RNA". It matches the Rfam family "Eukaryotic small subunit ribosomal RNA", at positions 1470 to 1796 of the family's 1831-position model. The record is from RNAcentral.